This 29-nucleotide non-coding RNA is filed under the name Rattus norvegicus (Norway rat). The record is from RNAcentral. Lineage: Eukaryota; Metazoa; Chordata; Mammalia; Rodentia; Muridae.
GAAGACUGAGGAGUUGGCAGAGAUUCAGA